AACGCACCUUGCGCUCCUUGGUAUUCCGAGGAGCAUGCCUGUUUGAGUGUCAUUAUAUUCUCAACCCCUCUUCGGCUUUUGCUGAGCAGUGGGUUUGGAUUGUGGGGGUUUCGUGUCGGCCGCUUUCCAGGUCGACUCCCCUGAAAUGCAUUAGCGGAACGGUUUGCGGUCCCGUCACUGGUGUGAUAGUUAUCUGCGCCGCCGACGAAGAGGAUUGCUCUCUGUCUGUUCAGCUUCUAAUCUGUCUGUAGUGGACAACUUUAUGAACCCUUGACCUCAAAUCAGGUAGGACUACCCGCUGAACUUAA
Molecule: unclassified non-coding RNA, 308 nt
Filed under: uncultured fungus
Lineage: Eukaryota; Fungi
Description: partial contains 5.8S ribosomal RNA, internal transcribed spacer 2, and large subunit ribosomal RNA
Rfam family: 5.8S ribosomal RNA (bases 1-52)
Source: RNAcentral